RNAcentral lists this ribosomal RNA (496 nucleotides) under uncultured bacterium. RNAcentral's name for it is "partial 16S ribosomal RNA". It matches the Rfam family "Bacterial small subunit ribosomal RNA", at positions 28 to 506 of the family's 1533-position model. The record is from RNAcentral.
GAUGAACGCUGGCGGCGUGCCUAAUACAUGCAAGUCGAGCGAACGGACGAGAAGCUUGCUUCUCUGAUGUUAGCGGCGGACGGGUGAGUAACACGUGGAUAACCUACCUAUAAGACUGGGAUAACUUCGGGAAACCGUAGCUAAUACCGGAUAAUAUUUUGAACCGCAUGGUUCAAAAGUGAAAGACGGUCUUGCUGUCACUUAUAGAUGGAUCCGCGCUGCAUUAGCUAGUUGGUAAGGUAACGGCUUACCAAGGCAACGAUGCAUAGCCGACCUGAGAGGGGAAUCGGCCACACGGAAACUGGGAAGCGGCCCAGACCCCUACGGGGGGCAGAGGUGGGAAAUCUUCCGAAAGGGGGGAAAGCCUGCCGGAGCAACGCCGCGGGGGGGAGGAGGGUUUUCGGUUCGUAAAACCUUUUUAUUGGGGAAAAAAAAAGGUGAAAGAAACUGGGCACACUUGGCCGGACCCAAACAAAAAACCCAGGGUAAACUACGG